CCUACGGGUGGCAGCAGUGAGGAAUAUUGGUCAAUGGCCGUAAGGCUGAACCAGCCAAGUAGCGUGAAGGAAGAAGGAUCUAUGGUUUGUAAACUUCUUUUAUAGGGGAAUAAAGGUAUCCACGUGUGGAUAUUUGCAUGUACCCUAUGAAUAAGCAUCGGCUAACUCCGUGACAGCAGCCGCGGUAAUACGGAGUAUGCGAGCGUUAUCCGGCUUUAUCGGGUUUAAAGGGUGCGUAGGUUGUUUUUUAAGUCAGCGGUGAAAGUUUGUGGCUCAACCAUAAAAUUGCCGUUGAAACUGGAAGACUGGAGUGUGUUUGAGGUAGGCGGAAUGCGUGGUGUAGCGGUGAAAUGCAUAGAUAUCACGCAGAACUCCGAUUGCGAAGGCAGCUUACUAAGCCAUAACUGACACUGAAGCACGAAAGCGUGGGGAUCAAACAGGAUUAGAUACCCUUGUAGUC
Molecule: ribosomal RNA, 460 nt
Filed under: uncultured bacterium
Lineage: Bacteria
Description: partial 16S ribosomal RNA
Rfam family: Bacterial small subunit ribosomal RNA
Source: RNAcentral